RNAcentral lists this ribosomal RNA (497 nucleotides) under uncultured bacterium. RNAcentral describes it as "partial 16S ribosomal RNA". It matches the Rfam family "Bacterial small subunit ribosomal RNA", at positions 28 to 507 of the family's 1533-position model. The record is from RNAcentral.
GAUGAACGCUGGCGGCGUGCCUAAUACAUGCAAGUCGAGCGAACGGACGAGGAGCUUGCUCCUUUGACGUUAGCGGCGGACGGGUGAGUAACACGUGGAUAACCUACCUAUAAGACUGGGAUAACUUCGGGAAACCGGCGAUAAUACCGGAUAAUCUAUUGAACCGCAUGGUUCAAUAGUGAAAGACGGUUUUGCUGUCACUUCUAGAUGGAUCCGCGCCGCAUUAGCUAGUUGGUAAGGUAACGGCUUACCAAGGCAACGAUGCGUAUCCGACCUGAGAGGGUGAUCGGCCACACUGGAACUGAGACACGGACCAGACUCCUACGGGAGGCAGCAGUAGGGAAUCUGCCGCAAUGGGCGAAAGCCUGACGGAGCAACGCCGCGUGAGUGAUGAAGGUCUUCGGAUCGUAAAACUCUGUUAUUAGGGAAGAACAAAUGUGUAAGUAACUAUGCACGUCUUGACGGUACCUAAUCAGAAAGCCACGGCUAACUACGUG